Long non-coding RNA from Homo sapiens (human), 2847 nucleotides. RefSeq lists it as uncharacterized. The record is from RefSeq and is a predicted model, not a curated record. The transcript is spliced from 4 exons. NCBI's taxonomy places the organism in Eukaryota, Metazoa, Chordata, Mammalia, Primates, Hominidae.
AGAAAAUGCAGGUAAAUGAGAAAACAAAACAGAUAAAGUUCCUGCAGAGGGAACAGGAAAUGAGUGAAAAGGAUUUACGACUACCCGUCUUCUCUCAGACUCUGCUCCUGGGAUGUAACAUUCAUUGCUUGCUAUGUCUAUACCUCACUACAUGCAAUGCACCUUUAGAAGACUGUCUCCUUACUCCAUAAUGGAAUUUGUCUCUGACCUAUUGCAGCUAUGAGAUAAGCAUUACCUGCCCCAGAGGCUACCUGCCACUCAGUGAAGAUCAUAUGCCUAAGUCAUGACAUCAACAUCAAACUCUCUUCAAAUCUGGGAGAAAGGCUCAGCUCUUACAACCAGGACAAGAAGAAAUGACACCAGUAGAGAGAUCAUUUGGUGAGCAGCAGGGUUGAAAGAGCCUCAAACCAUGGAGAGAGAGCCUGGAUCUCGAGUAGAAAGGCUUCUGGCACUGAAGAAGUCAAACAGGAUCCCUGAGAGGGAAAAAGCCAGGAGCUUGGGGAAUUAUCUUCACCAAGGUCUGUCUAGAGAUGUGGUUGGCAGAUUUAUGACCCCCAAAGAUGUCUACAUCCUAAACCCAGGAAUCUGUGAGUAUGUUACCUUACAUGCAAAAGGGACUUUGCAGAAGAGAUUAAUACCUUGAGAUGGGAAUAUUAUUCUGGAUUAUCUGGGUGGGUCAGAUUUAAUCUUACAAUUCCUUUAAAGUGAAAGACAAGGAAGAGGCAGGGUGAAUCUGAGCAAUGUGAGAAGAACGUGCUGACUUUGAAGAAUGAGGAAGUAGAUCAUGAGCCAAAGACUGCAGUAGCCUCUAGAACCUGGGGACUGCCAGCAGCUUACAGCCAGCGAGAACACAGGGACCCAGGGCUGCAACAGCAAAGAAUGGAAUUCUGUCAAUAACCAAAUGGGCAAGGAAACAGACUCUUUCUUAGAGUAUCCCAAAAUAAAGGCAGCCCCAUGCACACCUUUAUUUUAGCUCAGGAAUACCUGUGUCAGAUUUCUGACCUACAGAACUGUAAGACACUAAGUUUGUGUUGUAUUAGCAGCUGAAAUUGUUGCAUUUUGUUACAGUAGCAAUGGAAAACUAAUACAAGAGGGUAAGCUAAGUUGGUUUGCAAAUUUGUAGAUGCACUGACUGAAUGCCAGCAAUUGAUACACCAAAGUUAAUAAAAUUCUGGGACUUUUAUCAAAACCAAGGCAAAGAGGAUAGCAUGAGCUACAAAUGCUAAUUGGGUGGUAAAACAUCCUUAACUUUACCUUCAGUCUUAUUUGUCUUUACUGAAACAUAGUAAGGGAAGAUGGGCAGGUCUGUGCAAGGACAGUGGCCCAGUCACUUAGGAGAGACAGUUAGUGCUUACAUACCUGUGGGACCUGCAUAGGGUCUCACUCAGAGUUUGAAGCAAAUAUCAGAAAAUGUCAUCCUUAAAAUUUAAGAAAGAGAAGAGAAUUAAUUAUCACAUUUAUUCCACAAAGGUGCAGAUACUGUACAAGGUGGCUUAUGAAUAUCAUCUUAUUUAAUCUUCACAGCAAUACCAGAAAACCAGGACUACUUUGUCCAUUCUAUCUACUGCAGAGAAAAUGAGACUCGGGAAGAUCCAGUAACUUCCCAGAGGCUACAGGGAAAAUAAGAUCUGCCUGAUUUCAAAGUGGUCAAGGGUGAAAUUAAUGGAUUUAACAAACAAAGCAAACAAACAAAUUUUCCUUAAAAGGCAUCCAAAAAUCUUUAUCCUGAAUUUAUGAGCACCAAACACCUUUCCAGGAUGUAAUUUUACCUGCUUUAGGAAACUGAUGUCCUGCCAGGUUUACUGCUGCCGUAAGUGAAUAACACUAUUUAGUGGUACCUAAUGCAUGCCAAGCAGAGAUUUGUGUUUGACCUAUUAUUCCCCAUUCUCACAAUAAUUAUAUUAGGUAGGUAAUCUCUCCAUUUUCCAAAUGAGGAAACUAAAAUUCAUAAAGAAUAAAGCCUUUCCCAAAGUUAAUAAACUAAUAAAUGGCAAUGCCAACAUUUCAAUUCUUGACUGUCUGAUGCAAACAUAUGUUACCUCCAGAGUUGGGGACCUAUGAGUCUGGCUAGUGUGAACUUCCUCUAUACAACCUCUGAACUCUGGAAGGACUGACAGAUUCAACUGACAAAUUCAACAUCUGUCACUCACAUCUGCUGUGAUGACCACACACCAAGGUUCAUUCAACCAUUCUGUAAAGUCCUAUUGGAAAGAAUCAGGCAAUCAAGAUUCCUAUCACCUCACCUUCCACAAGAUGGGGGGAAAAGUUGUGUCCUUGAGAUUUCUAUGGAGAGCUGUGGAGAGAAAAGCAAAUAGACCAAUCCAUUAGGUAAUUAAAUUAGUCAUUUCAUUCACCAGACUUAAUGGAUAGACGGUCCAAACUCAGUUGAUGCAAACAUUAACACAGUAAUCUGAGCUUCCUCGAUGCACACAGCAGGUGUUAUGUACCAUCUUUGAAUACAAGGGAAAUAUUACAUGACUACAUAAAACAUGUAGCAUUCUGUUUCCAGAACCAGAGUUCUCUCUGCCAACUACUAAAAUCCUGCUAAUUGAUACACUGUGGUUUUUGGCCAGCCAGGGUCUUAUUUCCAUAAUGUCAGUUGGUGGUUUAGUACAUUUUUUUUUAUGGUUUGCUUGCACUGCUAACUCUGGGUAUAAAGCCAAUUCAUCCACGAGAACAUUCAACAUAAAUUUUUGACCACCUAGCAGUGGCAUUUAAGCCUCUGUGAUGAUUUCAGACAUAGAGGCCAAUUAUUUUGUGCUAAUUAUUUUGUGGUAUUUGCUUAUUACUGUUAAAAAAAAUCUGUAGGAAUACAGCUGGAUUUAACCUCUGAGCAAACUCCUAAGC